RNAcentral lists this transfer RNA (100 nucleotides) under Russula ochroleuca. It matches the Rfam family "tRNA". From Rfam's summary of the family: Transfer RNA (tRNA) molecules are approximately 80 nucleotides in length. Their secondary structure includes four short double-helical elements and three loops (D, anti-codon, and T loops). Further hydrogen bonds mediate the characteristic L-shaped molecular structure. tRNAs have two regions of fundamental functional importance: the anti-codon, which is responsible for specific mRNA codon recognition, and the 3' end, to which the tRNAs corresponding amino acid is attached (by aminoacyl-tRNA synthetases). tRNAs cope with the degeneracy of the genetic code in two manners: having more than one tRNA (with a specific anti-codon) for a particular amino acid; and 'wobble' base-pairing, i.e. permitting non-standard base-pairing at the 3rd anti-codon position. RNAcentral also lists the same sequence under 1 other name. The record is from Rfam by way of RNAcentral. Lineage: Eukaryota; Fungi; Basidiomycota; Agaricomycetes; Russulales; Russulaceae.
GCCCGCCUAGCUCAAUCGGAUAGAGCGUAAGACUUUUAAGGCAGUGGCAAUCACGUGUCCCGAAAUCUUAAGGCUGCGAGUUCGACCCUCGCGGUGGGCU